This 429-nucleotide ribosomal RNA is filed under the name uncultured bacterium. RNAcentral describes it as "bacterial SSU rRNA". It matches the Rfam family "Bacterial small subunit ribosomal RNA", at positions 355 to 775 of the family's 1533-position model. The record is from RNAcentral.
UGGGGAAUUGUUCGCAAUGGGCGCAAGCCUGACGACGCAACGCCGCGUGGAGGACGAAGAUCUUCGGGUCGUAAACUCCUGUCGAGCGGGAAGAACGCCUCGUGGGUGAAUAACCCGCGGGGGUGACGGUACCGCUAAAGGAAGCCCCGGCUAACUCCGUGCCAGCAGCCGCGGUAAUACGGGGGGGGCAAGCGUUGUUCGGAAUUACUGGGCGUAAAGGGCUCGUAGGCGGCCAACUAAGUCGGAUGUGAAAUCCCCAGGCUCAACUUGGGAACUGCAUCCGAUACUGGAUGGCUUGAAUCCGGGAGAGGGAUGCAGAAUUCCAGGUGUAGCGGUGAAAUGCGUAGAUAUCUGGAGGAAUACCGGUGGCGAAGGCGGCAUCCUGGACCGGCAUUGACGCUGAUGAGCGAAAGCCAGGGGAGCAAACGG